RNAcentral lists this ribosomal RNA (253 nucleotides) under uncultured bacterium. RNAcentral's name for it is "partial 16S ribosomal RNA". It matches the Rfam family "Bacterial small subunit ribosomal RNA", at positions 524 to 776 of the family's 1533-position model. The record is from RNAcentral.
UACGAAGGGUGCGAGCGUUAUUCGGAAUCACUGGGCGUAAAGGGUGUGUAGACGGUAUAUUAAGUUCGUCGUUAAAGGCUCCGGCCUAACCGGAGUAUUGCGAUGAAAACUGGUAAGCUAGAGGGUGAGAGAGAGAAGUGGAAUUCCCGGUGUAGUGGUGAAAUGCGUAGAGAUGCGGAGGAACACCGAUGGCGAAGGCAGCCCCCUGGGCCAACACUGACGCUCAGGCACGAAAGCGUGGGGAGCAAACAGG